Molecule: ribosomal RNA, 253 nt
Filed under: uncultured bacterium
Lineage: Bacteria
Description: partial 16S ribosomal RNA
Rfam family: Bacterial small subunit ribosomal RNA
Source: RNAcentral
UACAGAGGGGGCAAGCGUUGUUCGGAAUUACUGGGCGUAAAGGGCGCGUAGGCGGCCUUCUAAGUCGAACGUGAAAUCCCCGGGCUCAACCCGGGAACUGCGUCCGAGACUGAAAGGCUCGAAUCCGGGAGAGGGAUGUGGAAUUCCAGGUGUAGCGGUGAAAUGCGUAGAUAUCAGGAGGAACACCGAUGGCGAAGGCAGGCUCCUGGGCCAGCACUGACGCUCAUGCACGAAAGCGUGGGGAGCAAACAGG